Non-coding RNA from Chinchilla lanigera (long-tailed chinchilla), 491 nucleotides. The record is from the annotation of a RefSeq genome assembly. NCBI's taxonomy places the organism in Eukaryota, Metazoa, Chordata, Mammalia, Rodentia, Chinchillidae.
UCUACUGUGGGGUCGGAAGGCAGGACUCGGGGAUGACCUCCACCAUGGCCUGGCGCCCUCUCCUCUUCAGCCUCCUGGCUCACUGCACAGGGUCCUGGGCCCAGGCUGUGCUGACUCAGCCGCCCUCAGUGUCUGGGUCUCCAGGAGAGACGGUCACCAUCUCCUGCACCGGAAGCAGCAGCAAUAUUGGGGGCUAUUAUGUCCAGUGGUACCAGCAGCUCUCAGGAGUGGCUCCCAAACUCAUCAUCUAUGGCAAUAGCGAUCGACCAUCCGGGGUCUCUGAUCGAUACUCUGGCUCCAAAUCUGGCAACACAGCCUCCCUGACCAUCAGUGGGCUCCAAUCUGAGGACGAGGCUGACUAUUACUGUGGGUCUUAUGACAGUAGCCUCGGUGCUUGGGUAUUCGGAGGAGGGACCGCACUGACCAUCUUAGGUAAGUGGCUUCUUCUCCUUCUCUUGUUACUACCCAUGAUUUGAGACAAUAGUCUUCUG